GCCGCGGUAAUUCCAGGGGGGCCAGCGUUAUUCGUCAUUAUUAGGCGUGAAGGGUACGUAGGCGGUCUUAUAAAUUUUAAAUGAAAUCUUAAAAUAAUAUUGAAAGUAUUUAAAAGAUUUAUAAACUUGAGUGAGGUGGAGGGUUUUAGAAUUCUUAAGGAGAAAGGUAAAAUUUGAUCAAUCUUAAGAGGAAUCCCAAAGUGCGAAAGCUAAUGCCUAUACCUACACUGACGCUGAGGUACGUAAGCAUGGGUAGCAAGCAGGAUUAGGGACCCUGUUAGUCCAUGCCGUAAACGAUGAAUGUUCAAUAUUGCAAUUUUAUUUGCAGUGUUCUAGUUAACACGUUAAACAUUCCGCCUGAGAAGUAUGAUCGCAAGAUUGAAACUUAAAAGAUUUGACGGGGAUUUGUCCGUACGGUGGAACAUGUCGUUUAAUGCGAUGAUCCGCGCAAAACCUUACCAGUUUUGGAAUAUAUAUUAAAACAAUUGUUAUUAUAUUGGGUAAAUUAAAUAUAUACAGGGUUGCAUGGCUGUCGUAAGGUUAUAUCGUGAGACAUUAGGUUUAUUCCUAAAAUAAGCGAGACCCUACUACUUUUAUAUGUUUUUAUAUAUUUAUAUAUUUUAUAACACAUAAAAGAGAUUGGUUGGUACUUUUUAGGCGGACCUAAAAAGUACCAAAUGAAAGUAUGGAUGACGCCAAGUCCUCAUGACCUUUACAAACUGGGCUACAGAUGUGUUACAAAGGAAAGUACAAUAAGAAGCAAUUUUGAAAUAUUGAGCAGAUCUUUAAAGCUUUUCGUAAUUUGGAUUAUCCUCUGCAAUAGAGGGUAUGAAGUCGGAAUCGUCAGUAAUCACGAAUCAUCAUGUCGUGGUGAAAAAGUAAUCAAAUUCAGUACAC
This 897-nucleotide ribosomal RNA is filed under the name uncultured organism. Its description in RNAcentral is "bacterial SSU rRNA". It matches the Rfam family "Bacterial small subunit ribosomal RNA", at positions 514 to 1388 of the family's 1533-position model. The record is from RNAcentral.